Molecule: long non-coding RNA, 136 nt
Organism: Thalassophryne amazonica
Lineage: Eukaryota; Metazoa; Chordata; Actinopteri; Batrachoidiformes; Batrachoididae
Exons: 3
Source: RefSeq, a predicted model, not a curated record
CUUACCUGUUUAGAUGAUGCUGGACUUUGGAUUAGGAGUCAAGGAAGGAAAACCCAAGAAAAUCUUUCUUCUUCUUAGUUCAAGUGGAAAUCACUUACCACAGAUGAAUGGGUUGUUGUCCUCAGCUCAGAAGAAA